UACUUAUCAAGAGAGAUGGAGGGACUUGGCCCGUCGAUAUCUCAGCAACCACCCUAAAUGCGGCAAGGUGCUAAUUCCAGUAGACGUAGUCUUGUAGAUAAGGA
This 104-nucleotide non-coding RNA is filed under the name Viridibacillus arenosi. RNAcentral describes it as "SAM-I sequence". It matches the Rfam family "SAM riboswitch aptamer (S box leader)". Rfam says of the family: The SAM riboswitch is found upstream of a number of genes which code for proteins involved in methionine or cysteine biosynthesis in Gram-positive bacteria. The SAM riboswitch acts at the level of transcription termination control. The predicted structure consists of a complex stem-loop region followed by a single stem loop terminator region. Lineage: Bacteria; Bacillati; Bacillota; Bacilli; Caryophanales; Caryophanaceae. RNAcentral also lists the same sequence under 1 other name. The record is from RNAcentral.